Molecule: long non-coding RNA, 825 nt
Filed under: Lactuca sativa (garden lettuce)
Lineage: Eukaryota; Viridiplantae; Streptophyta; Magnoliopsida; Asterales; Asteraceae
Description: long non-coding RNA (LSAT_LNC010332)
Source: RNAcentral
AAAUUUUCAUUUAAAUAAUCAAUUUAAUAUUAAAAACACUUGCUUAAAAUCUUAUUUACAUUCGAAUUUCCAAAACAUAGUUUCUUUUUCAUUAUAAUAGAAGACCAGGAUCCUCCAAAUCAUAACUCUUUCUUCGGUGUGUACAAUCGAACCGUUGCCAUCCCGCGUUACUGUAAGAACCUGAAACAACAUAACAUAAACAACGUAAGCACGAAGCUUAGUGAGUUCCCCAAUAUACCUUACGCACAUACGCCUUCCGGCCCGGAUCUUUCGAUCCACAUAAUAUCGCCUUCCGGCCCGGAUCUUUCGAUCCACAUAACUUUGCCUUCCGGCCCGGAUCUUUCGAUCCACAUAACAUCGCCUUCCGGCCCGACCUUCCGGUCCAUGUGUCUCAGGGGACUUCCGUCCCUGCUGGGUAAACCUUCCGGCCUUACCCACGCCGACCUUCCGGUCCAUCACACAUAUAUAACACAUAAUACAAAUACUCUAACACAUAAAGCACAUAUAUCAUAUAUCAUACCUGACCUUUCUGUCACAUAAUACAUUGCCUUCCGGCCCAUAUAUAAGCAUGUAUAUCACGCGUAGCAACUAACUUUCCAUUCAUAGCAUAUAAACAUAACACACAACAUACUUGACCUUCCGGUCACACAAUCAAACCCUUCCGGGUGAGGUAUAGUGAGAAGACUCACCUCGCGGACACUAGAAGAUAGCAACUCCUAAAAUCCCUUGCACUUGAUCCUCCGAGCUACAAGCUCCCUGUAACAUCAUAUAUCCCUUAUUUAAUACUUCUAUCUUCCACGUUAACUGACCCUAAGAAUCACACCA